AUGCAGCAUCAUAAAUGCAAGGCAGGCAGGCAGGGAUGCCACCUCCUGCACAGGGAGGAAAGGAAAAGCGACGGACCGCAGGGCACAAGAAAGACUACUCCCACACACAUCCCCUUCCCCACGAGAUUCAGCAGGUGGCGGCACAUACGCAAGCUGAGCACAGAAGAAUCGUGCUGCAUACACCUCCACCGAUUCAGAGAGGCAAUGGGUGACAAUAGUACAAACUUGCGGGGGGAAAUUGCAAAACGUGUUACUGCCAGCAUUUCUCCUAAGGCCUUGUUUGACAGCAAGGGAUUGUGGAGGUUUUGGGAGGAGAGGAUUCCAGGGGAUUUGGUGAAUCCCCCUCUUUCACCCAAUCCCUCAAAUCCCCCUCCGUACAAAACACUGUUUGACAGAAAGGGAUUGCCAUAUUGA
Molecule: ribosomal RNA, 414 nt
Filed under: Triticum aestivum (bread wheat)
Lineage: Eukaryota; Viridiplantae; Streptophyta; Magnoliopsida; Poales; Poaceae
Description: partial small subunit ribosomal RNA
Source: RNAcentral